AUCUAUGGCCAUACCACAGUCAACUACAUUGAGUCUCAGUCUGAUCUCAGAAGCUAAGCAGGGUUGGGACUGGGUAGUAUUUGGGUGGGAAAGUGCCACAGAACCAGGGAAAUACCCAGUACUGUGAUUU
This 130-nucleotide ribosomal RNA is filed under the name Erinaceus europaeus (western European hedgehog). Lineage: Eukaryota; Metazoa; Chordata; Mammalia; Eulipotyphla; Erinaceidae. The record is from RNAcentral.